GAGGAGGAUGAAAGUUAAUGUUGAUGUAGAGGGUAGAAUCAAAGUUAAUGUUAACGGAAGUCCUUGAUGAGUUAGCUUAGUUACUAGGCAGUCUUUCGAAAGAGAGGCUGGCGAAAGCAAGCAAGCAGAGGAUGAAAGUUAAUGUUGAUGCUGAUGAUAUCAAUGGAUCUAUGUUUUCAUCAUCACACACUAUUGUAUGGCCAGAAUGUUUAUAAAUAAAAUACAACUUUCAGCAAUGGAUCUCUUGGUUCUCGCAUCGAUGAAGAACGCAGCGAAUUGCGAUAAGUAAUGUGAAUUGCAGAUUUCCAGUGAAUCAUCGAAUCUUUGAACGCAUCUUGCGCUCCUUGGUAUUCCGAGGAGCAUGCCUGUUUGAGUGUCAUUUAAUUAUCAACCAUCGUUCUUUAGUGAAUGAUGGCUUGGAGUUGGGGGUUGCUGGCGACGACCUGGUUGUCAGCUCUCCUUAAAAGCAUUAGCGAUCGAAGUCUUUCGACAUGCACGGCCAUUGACGUGAUAAUGAUCGUCGUGGCUGGAGUGUCUUUCCUAGAUAGAUCGCUUCUAAUAGACAAGAUCCUUGAUCUUCAUCAAGCUUAGCUACUAGGCAGUCUUUGAAAAGAGGCUGGCGAACACAAGCAAGAGAAAGGGACAGGAUCGAAGUUAAUGUUGAUGUAAAUCCUCGAGCUUAGUUACUAGGCAGUCUUUGAGAAAGAGGCUGGCGAACACAAGCUAUGGAAGUCAAUGUUGAUGAAAUAUAAUGACUGA
This 759-nucleotide ribosomal RNA is filed under the name Phylloporus megacystidiatus. Its description in RNAcentral is "eukaryotic LSU rRNA". The stretch from base 225 to 379 matches the Rfam family "5.8S ribosomal RNA". Lineage: Eukaryota; Fungi; Basidiomycota; Agaricomycetes; Boletales; Boletaceae. The record is from RNAcentral.